RNAcentral lists this transfer RNA (71 nucleotides) under Nostoc sp. CENA543. RNAcentral's name for it is "tRNA-Gly". It matches the Rfam family "tRNA". Rfam says of the family: Transfer RNA (tRNA) molecules are approximately 80 nucleotides in length. Their secondary structure includes four short double-helical elements and three loops (D, anti-codon, and T loops). RNAcentral also lists the same sequence under 1 other name. Lineage: Bacteria; Bacillati; Cyanobacteriota; Cyanophyceae; Nostocales; Nostocaceae. The record is from RNAcentral.
GCGGAUGUGGUGUAAAGGCAACACCGGAGUAUGCCAAGCUCCAAAUGCGAGUUCAACUCUCGUCGUCCGCU